GAUGAAGAACGCAGCGAAAUGCGAUAAGUAAUGCGAAUUGCAGAUCUCCGUGAGUCAUUGAAUCUUUGAACGCACAUUGCGCCCUCGGGUAUUCCGAGGGCAUGCCUGUCCGAGCGUCAUUAUCCAACCAUCAAGCUCGGCUUGCGGUUGAGCCCCGCACCGUCCCCGGGACGGUGGGCUCGAAACAUGUUGGGCGCCCGUGAGGUUCUCGGUGCAGCGAGCUCUCGAGCACGUGCCGGGCAACCUCUCUGGGCGUCGGCCAACCCCCCAAUUUCUCAGGUUGACCUCGGAUCAGGUAGGAAUACCCGCUGAACUUAAGCAUAUCAAUAAGCGGAGGA
Molecule: unclassified non-coding RNA, 338 nt
Filed under: soil metagenome
Description: partial contains 5.8S ribosomal RNA, internal transcribed spacer 2, and large subunit ribosomal RNA
Rfam family: 5.8S ribosomal RNA (bases 1-119)
Source: RNAcentral